This 21-nucleotide microRNA is filed under the name Mus musculus (house mouse). RNAcentral describes it as "mmu-miR-3470a". The record is from miRBase by way of RNAcentral. Lineage: Eukaryota; Metazoa; Chordata; Mammalia; Rodentia; Muridae.
UCACUUUGUAGACCAGGCUGG